CCUACGGGCGGCAGCAGUGAGGAAUAUUGCACAAUGGGCGAAAGCCUGAUGCAGCAACGCCGCGUGAGCGAUGAAUGCCUUCGGGUCGUAAAGCUCUGUCCUUAAGGAAGAUAAUGACGGUACUUGAGGAGGAAGCCCCGGCUAACUACGUUCCAGCAGCCGCGGUAAUACGUCGGGGGCUAGCGUUAUCCGGAAUUACUGGGCGUAAGGGGUGCGUAGGUGGUUUCUUAAGUCAGAGGUGAAAGGCUACGGAUCAACCGUAGUAAGCCUUUGAAACUGGGGAACUUGAGUGCAGGAGAGGAGAGUGGAAUUCCUAGUGUAGCGGUGAAAUGCGUAGAUAUUAGGAGGAACACCAGUUGCGAAGGCGGCUCUCUGGACUGUAACUGACACUGAGGCACGAAAGCGUGGGGAGCAAACAGGAUUAGAUACCCCAGUAGUC
RNAcentral lists this ribosomal RNA (439 nucleotides) under uncultured bacterium. RNAcentral's name for it is "partial 16S ribosomal RNA". It matches the Rfam family "Bacterial small subunit ribosomal RNA", at positions 338 to 795 of the family's 1533-position model. The record is from RNAcentral.